This is a long non-coding RNA of Monodelphis domestica (gray short-tailed opossum), 448 nucleotides long. RefSeq lists it as uncharacterized. NCBI's taxonomy places the organism in Eukaryota, Metazoa, Chordata, Mammalia, Didelphimorphia, Didelphidae. The record is from RefSeq and is a predicted model, not a curated record.
UCCACCCCCACCUUCUUCUCUGGCUCCCCACUCAACAGAGCCAACCAAUACAGAGCAAGGAUCUAACACCUCCAAUGCCAAGCUAAACCCCGGGAAGGGGCUGCAGAGACUGGGACACCUGCUCUAGUCCCUCAGGAGACAGAUUUGUACAAGCUGAAUGUAUACUGCCUAAUAGUAUGGGACAGCCAAGCCAGGGCAGGAAAAGGAUCUUUACUGAAGACCAAAUAUGUAAUGUGGCACAUCGAGGAGAAAAUCUGGUGGGAGAAUGAACGGAAUUAAAUGAUUGGAUCCCUCCUCUCAUCUUCUGUAUCAAGCCUUACCCAAGUGGUGCAAUACUAAUGACUGAGGACCAACCACCUUUCAACUCUGUACUCCUACCCCCUGUCAUUCUUUUUUUUUUUUUGCCUGGGGAAAGGCAUUUAGUAUCAAGACAUAAAUAUAAUUACUU